AGAUAUCUGCGAUGCACGACGGCCUGUGCUUAAUUCAACCGACAUAUCAGACACGGGAAUUUAGUGUUUGCGAGAUAUGACAUGCCCCCAAUGGGGGAAGUCAGUGUCAACCAACGAGAUACCCACCUAUACAAGGGCGGGUCUGAAUUAACUAAUGGCUACGUCAUUGCGGAUUUUUG
Molecule: non-coding RNA, 179 nt
Filed under: Tissierellia bacterium
Lineage: Bacteria; Bacillati; Bacillota; Tissierellia
Description: 6S RNA
Rfam family: 6S / SsrS RNA
About the family: E. coli 6S RNA was the first non coding RNA to be sequenced, but its function was unknown until recently. It consists of 184 nucleotides that fold into an extended hairpin structure with a large single-stranded internal bulge.
Source: RNAcentral